This 170-nucleotide ribosomal RNA is filed under the name uncultured bacterium. Its description in RNAcentral is "partial 16S ribosomal RNA". It matches the Rfam family "Bacterial small subunit ribosomal RNA", at positions 1328 to 1500 of the family's 1533-position model. The record is from RNAcentral.
GGAAUUGCUAGUAAUCGCGGAUCAGCAUGCCGCGGUGAAUACGUUCCCGGGCCUUGUACACACCGCCCGUCACACCAUGAGAGUUGGCAACACCCGAAGUCAGCAGGCAAACAGUGAAGCCGCUGCCGAAGGUGGGGUUGAUGAUUGGGGUGAAGUCGUAACAAGGUACC